AGAGUUUGAUCCUGGCUCAGAGUGAACGCUGGCGGCAGGCCUAAUACAUGCAAGUCGAACGGCAGCACAGCAGAGCUUGCUCUGUGGGUGGCGAGUGGCGGACGGGUGAGGAAUACAUGGGAAUCUGCCCAGUCGUGGGGGAUAACGUAGGGAAACUUACGCUAAUACCGCAUGCGCCCUUCGGGGAAAGCCGGGGACCUUCGGGCCUGGCGCGAUUGGAUGAGCCCAUGUCGGAUUAGCUAGUUGGCGGGGUAAUGGCCCACCAAGGCGACGAUCCGUAGCUGGUCUGAGAGGAUGAUCAGCCACACUGGAACUGAGACACGGUCCAGACUCCUACGGGAGGCAGCAGUAGGGAAUAUUGGACAAUGGGCGCAAGCCUGAUCCAGCCAUGCCGCGUGAGUGAAGAAGGCCCUCGGGUUGUAAAGCUCUUUUGUCCGGAAAGAAAAGCGCCGGGUUAAUACCCUAGUGUCCUGACGGUACCGGAAGAAUAAGCACCGGCUAACUUCGUG
Molecule: ribosomal RNA, 509 nt
Filed under: uncultured bacterium
Lineage: Bacteria
Description: bacterial SSU rRNA
Rfam family: Bacterial small subunit ribosomal RNA
Source: RNAcentral